This 496-nucleotide ribosomal RNA is filed under the name uncultured bacterium. Its description in RNAcentral is "partial 16S ribosomal RNA". It matches the Rfam family "Bacterial small subunit ribosomal RNA", at positions 29 to 507 of the family's 1533-position model. The record is from RNAcentral.
AUGCACGCUGGCGGCGUGCCUAAUCCCUGCCAGUCGAGCGAACGGACGGGAAGCUUGCUUUUCUGAUGUUAGCGGCGGACGGGUGAGUAACACGUGGAUAACCUACCUAUAAGACUGGGAUAACUUCGGGAAACCGGAGCUAAUACCGGAUAAUAUUUUGAACCGCAUGGUUCAAAAGUGAAAGACGGUCUUGCUGUCACUUAUAGAUGGAUCCGCGCUGCAUUAGCUAGUUGGUAAGGUAACGGCUUACCAAGGCAACGAUGCAUAGCCGACCUGAGAGGGUGAUCGGCCACACUGGAACUGAGACACGGUCCAGACUCCUACGGGAGGCAGCAGUAGGGAAUCUUCCGCAAUGGGCGAAAGCCUGACGGAGCAACGCCGCGUGAGUGAUGAAGGUCUUCGGAUCGUAAAACUCUGUUAUUAGGGAAGAACAUAUGUGUAAGUAACUGUGCACAUCUUGACGGUACCUAAUCAGAAAGCCACGGCUAACUACGUG